UCAUACCUUUCUGGAUCCAAGUGC
RNAcentral lists this non-coding RNA (24 nucleotides) under Arabidopsis thaliana (thale cress). Lineage: Eukaryota; Viridiplantae; Streptophyta; Magnoliopsida; Brassicales; Brassicaceae. The record is from RNAcentral.